RNAcentral lists this long non-coding RNA (1000 nucleotides) under Homo sapiens (human). RNAcentral describes it as "HSALNT0296747". The record is from RNAcentral. Lineage: Eukaryota; Metazoa; Chordata; Mammalia; Primates; Hominidae.
CAGGCUGUACAGGAAAUGUGGUGCCGGCAUCUGCUUCUGGAGACCGAUGAUUAACAGCAAAAACAAUAGCCAACGCCAUAGACAUUUCAGCUGGUUCAUUUUACACAAUUCUGACUCUGCUCAGUGGGUGCCAAAACUGUUGCUCCCAGAUCAAUUGCAGACAAGAGCAGAGCUUUCACUGGAAAUUUCAAACAGGUGGGAUCAACAUUCUGAAGGAUUUCUUUGAAGAAUUUUAACAAUAAAUGAACAUGGUUUUACCAGUACAUCCUGAAGACAAAGUACAAUCAAAUCACUGGCUACCAAGAGUUGGAAGUGAGAGCAGAAGCAGACUGAUCAAGAACAAAGGUCAUGGCAACACUUUUUUUGGGAUACGCAAGGCAUUUUGCUCGUUGACUUUUGGGAGGGCCAAUGAAUGCCAACAUCUGCUUAUUGUAAGAGUAUUUUAAGAAAGUUAGCUAAAGCUUGAGCAGAAAAAUGCCUAGGAAAGCUUCACCAGAGAGUCCUUCUCCACCAUGAUAGUGCUCUUGCUCAUUCUUCUCAUCAAACAAGGUCAAUUUUGGGAUAGUUUUGAUGCACAUUUAUUAGGCAUCCACCCUACAGUCCUGAUUUGGCUCCUUCUGACUUUUUUAUUUCUUAAUCUUAAAACGUCUAUAAAGCGUAUCCAUUUUUCUUCAGUUAAAAAUGUAAAAAAGACUGCAUUGACAUGGUUAAUGCAGGACCCUCAGUUCUUUAAGGAUGGACUAAAUAUGUGUUAUUAUUGCCUACAGGUGUCUUGACCUUGAUGGAGCUUAUGUUGAGAAAUAAAGUUUAUACUUUCUAUUUUCAUCUAAUUCCAUUUUUUCCACAAACUUUUUGGAGUCCCCUUGUAUUUCCAGAAUACUUGUGAAUGGCUUUUUCAAAUUAAUUUGGCCUAAAUAUUAUCCCAAUUUAUUAACCUUAAUUGGAGAAUGUUGAAAAUCUUGUCUCUUCAUAAAAAAAAAAAAAAAAAAAAGCCAUUUCC